This 207-nucleotide long non-coding RNA is filed under the name Homo sapiens (human). Its description in RNAcentral is "HSALNT0239325". The record is from RNAcentral. Lineage: Eukaryota; Metazoa; Chordata; Mammalia; Primates; Hominidae.
UUUUAAGGGAAGAAAAUGUUGACAGAUGCAACCUUAGCUGAUUGUUCAAAAAAAGUUUUUCCUUUGGUUAUAAUUGUAAAUACAAAAGAAGAAAGCUUGGCCUUUGUCCUCUAUGACCUCAUGACUUAGUGGGGAAAACAGCCACACAAACAAUGACCACAGUGUCCCAAGGUGUGGGUGGGGUUUUUAGAGGGUCAUGGAGUGACU